RNAcentral lists this ribosomal RNA (208 nucleotides) under uncultured bacterium. RNAcentral describes it as "partial 16S ribosomal RNA". It matches the Rfam family "Bacterial small subunit ribosomal RNA", at positions 568 to 774 of the family's 1533-position model. The record is from RNAcentral.
AGCGUAGACGGCAAGGCAAGUCUGAUGUGAAAACCCAGGGCUUAACCCUGGGACUGCAUUGGAAACUGUCUGGCUCGAGUGCCGGAGAGGUAAGCGGAAUUCCUAGUGUAACGGUGAGAUGCGUAGAUAUUAGGAAGAACACCAGUGGCGAAGGCGGCUUACUGGACGGUAACUGACGUUGAGGCUCGAAAGCGGUGGGGAGCAAACA